This 499-nucleotide ribosomal RNA is filed under the name uncultured bacterium. RNAcentral describes it as "partial 16S ribosomal RNA". It matches the Rfam family "Bacterial small subunit ribosomal RNA", at positions 899 to 1397 of the family's 1533-position model. The record is from RNAcentral.
ACUCAAAGGAAUAGACGGGGGCCCGCACAAGCGGUGGAGCAUGUGGUUCAAUUCGACGCAACGCGAAGAACCUUACCUGGACUCGAAAUGCAGUUGCCGCUUUCAGAGAUGAAGGUUUCCCGCAAGGGACGACUGUAUAGGUGCUGCAUGGCUGUCGUCAGCUCGUGUCGUGAGAUGUUGGGUUAAGUCCCGCAACGAGCGCAACCCUCACCCUUAGUUGCUCGUCCGCAAGGAAAGCACCCUAAGGGAACUGCCCGGGAUAACCGGGAGGAAGGUGGGGAUGACGUCAAGUCCUCAUGGCCUUUAUGCCCAGGGCUACACACGUGCUACAAUGGCCGGUACAAAGCGUCGCCAACCCGCAAGGGGGAGCCAAUCGCAAAAAACCGGUCUCAGUUCGGAUUGCAGGCUGCAACUCGCCUGCAUGAAGCUGGAAUCGCUAGUAAUCGCGUAUCAGAACGAUGCGGUGAAUACGUUCCCGGGCCUUGUACACACCGCCCGU